This 440-nucleotide ribosomal RNA is filed under the name uncultured bacterium. Its description in RNAcentral is "partial 16S ribosomal RNA". It matches the Rfam family "Bacterial small subunit ribosomal RNA", at positions 338 to 795 of the family's 1533-position model. The record is from RNAcentral.
CCUACGUGUGGCAGCAGUGGGGGAUAUUGCACAAUGGGGGAAACCCUGAUGCAGCGACGCCGCGUGUGGGAAGACGGUCCUCUGGAUUGUAAACCACUGUCCCCAGGGAAGAAGAUGACGGUACCUGGGGAGGAAGCGCCGGCUAACUACGUGCCAGCAGCCGCGGUAAGACGUAGGGAGCGAGCGUGGUCCGGAAGGACUGUGUGUAAAGGGAGCGGAGGCGGGACUUCCAGUUGUGUGGCUAAUCUACCGGCUCAACCGGUAGCCGCACUCCAAACUGCAGUUCUUGAGUGAAGUAGAGGCAGGCGGAAUUCCUAGUGUAUCGGUGACAUGCGUAGAUAUUAGGCGGCACACCAGUGGCGACGGCGGCCUGCUGGGCUUUUACUGCCGCUGCGGCUCUAAAGUGUGGGGAGCACACAGGAUUAGAUACCCUAGUAGUC